AGAACAACUGAGAGUGGCCUCUCGCGCUUUCCCCCAGUUCUCCCUUAAAAAUACUUGGGGGAAGAAAGUGCUUGACUACUCACAGUCCUGUGAUGACCUGUGGCGGAAGGUAAACCGAAGGUGACUGCGGUUAACGUCCUCGAUGGGAAUGGCCACCUUCAAGAAUUGAAAAAGAAGUUUAAGCACUGUUAUCAAUAUCAUCCAGCGUAACAGCUUUAUUCAACUGGAGCUAUCAGAGCCAACCCCUGGCCUGGUUUUCAAAUAUUCAAGCUCUUGGCGGUGAGACGGUGUUUACUCCAUCGUGGAGAUGUGAGCACGCUGCAUUAUGAAAAGGCACCAUAUCAGAGCUACAGAACAGGAUCCCACUCCCCAGCAAUGACCUCCACAGGCUGGCAGCUCGGUUUUUUUGUUUGGUGUAAAGACAGCAUGCCACACAUAAAACAGUACUGGGAAGAGAAAGACAAUAGCUAUCUUAAAAAGACUCUGUCAUUUGUCUCCAUGAACGUCCUAUUUUUACGUCCAAAAGGAGAUGAGAGUAAAUGUAUUCUAAGAAACACCA
Molecule: long non-coding RNA, 559 nt
Filed under: Homo sapiens (human)
Lineage: Eukaryota; Metazoa; Chordata; Mammalia; Primates; Hominidae
Description: non-protein coding lnc-FAM196A-1:3
Source: RNAcentral